RNAcentral lists this transfer RNA (93 nucleotides) under uncultured Actinomycetes bacterium. RNAcentral's name for it is "uncultured actinobacterium tRNA-Asn". RNAcentral also lists the same sequence under 1 other name. The record is from RNAcentral. Lineage: Bacteria; Bacillati; Actinomycetota; Actinomycetes.
CGACUGCUUGGUCUGUAGCAGGGGCUGCGGCCUGUUCUGCGGCCUGUUCUGGUGUCGGGACAGCUGCCGGUUCCGCUGCGGGAGCAGUCGCCC